GUCUAUGGUCAUGCUACCCUGAACAAGCCCGAUUCCAUAUAAUCUCAGAAACUAAGCAUGAUUGGGCCUGGUUAGUACUUGGAUGGGAAACCAUCUAGGAAGACCAGGUGCUGUAGGCG
Molecule: ribosomal RNA, 119 nt
Organism: Pteropus vampyrus (large flying fox)
Lineage: Eukaryota; Metazoa; Chordata; Mammalia; Chiroptera; Pteropodidae
Source: Ensembl